GAUGAACGCUGGCGGCGUGCCUAAUACAUGCAAGUCGAGCGAACAGACGAGGAGCUUGCUCCUCUGACGUUAGCGGCGGACGGGUGAGUAACACGUGGAUAACCUACCUAUAAGACUGGGAUAACUUCGGGAAACCGGAGCUAAUACUGGAUAAUAUAUUGAACCGCAUGGUUCAAUAGUGAAAGACGGUUUUGCUGUCACUUAUAGAUGGAUCCGCGCCGCAUUAGCUAGUUGGUAAGGUAACGGCUUACCAAGGCAACGAUGCGUAGCCGACCUGAGAGGGUGAUCGGCCACACUGGAACUGAGACACGGUCCAGACUCCUACGGGAGGCAGCAGUAGGGAAUCUUCCGCAAUGGGCGAAAGCCUGACGGAGCAACGCCGCGUGAGUGAUGAAGGUCUUCGGAUCGUAAAACUCUGUUAUUAGGGAAGAACAAAUGUGUAAGUAACUAUGCACGUCUUGACGGUACCUAAUCAGAAAGCCUCGGCUAACUACGUG
RNAcentral lists this ribosomal RNA (497 nucleotides) under uncultured bacterium. RNAcentral's name for it is "partial 16S ribosomal RNA". It matches the Rfam family "Bacterial small subunit ribosomal RNA", at positions 28 to 507 of the family's 1533-position model. The record is from RNAcentral.